GGCAUGGUGGCCAAGCGGCAAGGCGUUGGUCUAGUAAACCAAAGAUCGUGGGUUCAAGUCCCAUCCGUGCCU
Non-coding RNA from Archocentrus centrarchus (flier cichlid), 72 nucleotides. The record is from the annotation of a RefSeq genome assembly. NCBI's taxonomy places the organism in Eukaryota, Metazoa, Chordata, Actinopteri, Cichliformes, Cichlidae.